GGGCGGGUAGAUCAGCCCGGUAGAUCGCCUGAUUCGCAUUCAGGAGGCCCCGAGUUCAAAUCUCGGUCCGUCCA
Molecule: transfer RNA, 74 nt
Filed under: Methanobacteriota archaeon
Lineage: Archaea; Methanobacteriati; Methanobacteriota
Description: Euryarchaeota archaeon tRNA-Ala
Rfam family: tRNA
About the family: Transfer RNA (tRNA) molecules are approximately 80 nucleotides in length. Their secondary structure includes four short double-helical elements and three loops (D, anti-codon, and T loops). Further hydrogen bonds mediate the characteristic L-shaped molecular structure. tRNAs have two regions of fundamental functional importance: the anti-codon, which is responsible for specific mRNA codon recognition, and the 3' end, to which the tRNAs corresponding amino acid is attached (by aminoacyl-tRNA synthetases). tRNAs cope with the degeneracy of the genetic code in two manners: having more than one tRNA (with a specific anti-codon) for a particular amino acid; and 'wobble' base-pairing, i.e. permitting non-standard base-pairing at the 3rd anti-codon position.
Source: RNAcentral